UACGUAGGGUGCAAGCGUUGUUCGGAAUCAUUGGGCGUAAAGCGCGUGUAGGCGGUUUGAUAAGUCGAGUGUGAAAUCCCUGGCUUAACCGAGGAAGUGCAUUCGAAACUAUCUGGCUAGAAGACGGUAGAGGAAGGUGGAAUUCCUAGUGUAGAGGUGAAAUGCGCAGAUAUCAGGAGGAACACCGGUGGCGAAAGGCGGGUCUCUGGGCAACAACUGACGCUGGAGGAGCGAAAGCGUGGGGAGCGAACAGG
Molecule: ribosomal RNA, 254 nt
Filed under: uncultured bacterium
Lineage: Bacteria
Description: partial 16S ribosomal RNA
Rfam family: Bacterial small subunit ribosomal RNA
Source: RNAcentral